Molecule: ribosomal RNA, 468 nt
Filed under: uncultured bacterium
Lineage: Bacteria
Description: partial 16S ribosomal RNA
Rfam family: Bacterial small subunit ribosomal RNA
Source: RNAcentral
GACGAACGCUGGCGGCGUGCUUAACACAUGCAAGUCGAACGGAAAGGCCCUGCUUUUGUGGGGUGCUCGAGUGGCGAACGGGUGAGUAACACGUGAGUAACCUGCCCUUGACUUUGGGAUAACUUCAGGAAACUGGGGCUAAUACCGGAUAGGAGCUCCUGCUGCAUGGUGGGGGUUGGUAAGUUUCGGCGGUUGGGGAUGGACUCGCGGCUUAUCAGCUUGUUGGUGGGGUAGUGGCUUACCAGGGCUUUGACGGGUAGCCGGCCUGCGAGGGUGACCGGCCACAAUGGGACUGGGGUACGGCCCAGACGCCUACGGGAGGAAGCGGUGGGGAAUAUUGCACAAUGGGCGGAAGCAUGAUGCAGCAACGCCGCGUGCGGGAUGACGGCCUUCGGGUUGUAAACCGCUUUCGCCUGUGACGAAGCGUGAGUGACGGUAAUGGGUAAAGAAGCAACGGCUAACUACGUG